This 1840-nucleotide long non-coding RNA is filed under the name Malus domestica (apple). RNAcentral's name for it is "long non-coding RNA (MDOM_LNC013021)". The record is from RNAcentral. Lineage: Eukaryota; Viridiplantae; Streptophyta; Magnoliopsida; Rosales; Rosaceae.
UGUGAGGAAAGGAUCUCCAAAAACACCAAAGAUUUGGUGUCUCUAAGUCUCCAUACCAAGCAUGAGGUGUGAAGAAGAAAUUGAUGACUUAGAGAAGAAAAGAUUGCUAGCUAUCUCUUCCCUAAGUGGCUGACCUCUUUUAGAGAAAAGGAGAGAAAGUGUUUCUCUUCUUUGUCUCAAGAAAACCCUAAUGAGGUAAAAGCUAUAAAGAUGCUUUUAUAUCUCUUUUCUUAGGUGAGUGGCGAACUUGCAAUUAAGUAAAACUUCCCACUUCCCUCACUAUGGCCGGCCAUCUUAAGUGAUUGGGCUAUUUGUCCAUAUUUGUUUUAGUUGUCAUACAACUUAAACAUAAUGGACCUAGUGGACCAAACCCUUUUGGACCCCGAAGCCCAAAACUAACUUAAAAGCCCAAUACGAACCUUUCGUAUAAUUAAUCAACUAAUUAAUUAACCUUGAUCAUUUUCAAUUAAGCCAUUUAAUUGCUUAUCCAUUUCAUUUAUAUUUCUUCACUUUCAUCCUUACUCGGUGUACGAUCCAUUAGGUUCCAAUUAGCGAGGCAGUGGGCGAUUGUUACUCUUAACAAUCGAUUGUGAAUUGAAACUUCAUUUCAAUUCUCCUUUUGAUUAAGAUUAGUGUUUGCUAAUCUUCAGGGCUUCCACAAACCAUGAGUGACACCUAGCAGCAUGUCAUGGUUACCCAAGCCAAAUAGAAUUGGUUCGAGAACCUAUCCAGUUACAAUUACAAUGCAAUACGGUCAUUCUCUAAUACAAUACUCUUAAUCACAUUGUUUGAGUGAUAGUUUGUUUCAUGUCUACUAUCCAAUGUAAUACUUCUCUAUAUGAUUCAAUUGAAUAUGAUUUGGAACAUACUUCCUAAGUCAUAUUCGUAUGCUUUGGCCAAAGACUCCCGAAUCAUAUCUUAGAGUAUUCUCCUUCCACCAUGGGAGGUUAGAGAUCCCUUAUUGUGCAUUCAUAUGCCUACAUGACGAGAUAGCUUGAUCACUCAUAUAUUUCAUACAUUUAUACCAUCCAUUUCUAAAGUAUUUGUAAUGCUUUUGUGUUAAAAUUAUGGCAUUUUACCUUAUCUUGUGUUAAUGUACAGUUAAUUUUGUGUUAGCAUUGUUUUCACAGAAAUAAUGGAAUGAUGGAGGAAUAAAAGAAACAAAAGAAAAAGAAAAAAAAAUAUAAAGAAAGCAAGAAGUGGAGGACUAACGGAAAGCAGAGAAAAAAGAAACAGAAAAUAAAUGAAAUGGGAGACACGGGUGGAUGGCAUGCUGGCAGAAAAAGAAUAAAGAGAGAGGUGAGGGCAGAGAGGAGCGGGCGGCCUUGCGGAAAGAAGGAGAAGAAAGGCUGCCCUUGCAGCCUUGAAAGGUCAGAAGCAGGAAAUAAAAGAAAUAAAAGAAAGGAGAAGCAGAGAGCUGCCUGGCGGCAGUAGAAAACCGAGUAGGGGCGGACUGGGAGACUGACAGAAGUCAGAAGGCAGGGCAGUGAGAGGUCAAAGGGAGAGUAGGUCAGAGAAGUAGAACAAGACUGGCAGACAAAGAAAAAGAAACGCUGCCCUUGGCAGCGUGAGAAAGGGAGAGAGAGAUAGGGAGGCUGCCAGCCAGAGGUCAGAGAGGGCAGAGACCAGCAGAAACGGGAGCAACACAGAGCAAAGUUUCACUCCAUUUUUCUUGGUUUUAUCUUCUCAAACCCAUGUUUUACUUUUGGUUUAAUUUGAUAAUAAUGUGUAACUAAAUUUAUUUUGGCUAGAGGUUAAUUCAAAGCCAUGGAUAUAUUUGUAAUAUGAAUUGAUUACCUUCAGUUGUGAUUUCUGAGUUGUGAUUUAAUUUGCUUAACUG